This 253-nucleotide ribosomal RNA is filed under the name uncultured bacterium. Its description in RNAcentral is "partial 16S ribosomal RNA". It matches the Rfam family "Bacterial small subunit ribosomal RNA", at positions 524 to 776 of the family's 1533-position model. The record is from RNAcentral.
UACGGGGGGGGCAAGCGUUGUUCGGAAUUACUGGGCGUAAAGGGCUCGUAGGUGGCCAACUAAGUCGGACGUGAAAUCCCUCAGCUUAACCGGGGAACUGCGUCUGAUACUGGAUGGCUUGAGGUUGGGAGAGGGAUGCGGAAUUCCAGGUGUAGCGGUGAAAUGCGUAGAUAUCUGUUAGAAUACCAAUGGCGAAGGCAGUUGCCUGGCCCGUUACUGACGCUAAAGCACGAAAGUGUGGGUAGCAAACAGG